Molecule: transfer RNA, 69 nt
Filed under: Bacteriophage sp.
Description: tRNA-OTHER
Source: RNAcentral
GCAUAUAUAAAAUUGACUCGAAAUCAGGUUGCCUGCAAGGGCACGUGGGUUCGAAUCCCACCGUCUCCG